UACGUAGGGGGCAAGCGUUGUCCGGAAUCAUUGGGCGUAAAGCGCGUGUAGGCGGCUCGGUAAGUCCGCUCUGAAAGUCCGGGGCUCAACCCCGGGAGGCGGGUGGAUACUGUCGAGCUAGAGUCCGGAAGAGGCGAGUGGAAUUCCUGGUGUAGCGGUGAAAUGCGUAGAUAUCAGGAAGAACAUCGGUGGCGAAGGCGCUCUGCUGGACCAUAACUGACACUCAGGGACGAAAGCUAGGGGAGCGAAUGGG
This 253-nucleotide ribosomal RNA is filed under the name uncultured bacterium. RNAcentral's name for it is "partial 16S ribosomal RNA". It matches the Rfam family "Bacterial small subunit ribosomal RNA", at positions 524 to 776 of the family's 1533-position model. The record is from RNAcentral.